CAUUACCGAGUUUUCAACUCCCAAACCCCUGUGAACAUACCUCGACGUUGCUUCGGCGGGACCGCCCCGGCCAGCCCCUCGCGGGCGGACCGGAACCAGGCGCCCGCCGGAGGACCACAAACUCUUGUUUCCUAAUAGUGGCAAUACUCUGAGUCUAACAAAAAAAUAAAUCAAAACUUUCAACAACGGAUCUCUUGGCUCUGGCAUCGAUGAAGAACGCAGCGAAAUGCGAUAAGUAAUGUGAAUUGCAGAAUUCAGUGAAUCAUCGAAUCUUUGAACGCACAUUGCGCCCGCCAGUAUUCUGGCGGGCAUGCCUGUUCGAGCGUCAUUUCAACCCUCAAGCCCCAGCGGCUUGGUGUUGGGGACCGGCCCCGCGCCGCCCCCGAAAUGCAGUGGCGACCUCGCCGCAGCCUCCCCUGCGUAGUAGCACAAACCUCGCACCGGAGCGCGGAGACGGUCACGCCGUUAAACGCCCAACUUUCUUAGAGUUGACCUCGGAUCAGGUAG
RNAcentral lists this ribosomal RNA (507 nucleotides) under fungal endophyte. Its description in RNAcentral is "eukaryotic LSU rRNA". The stretch from base 175 to 328 matches the Rfam family "5.8S ribosomal RNA". Lineage: Eukaryota; Fungi. The record is from RNAcentral.